Molecule: ribosomal RNA, 152 nt
Filed under: Cladonia metaminiata
Lineage: Eukaryota; Fungi; Ascomycota; Lecanoromycetes; Lecanorales; Cladoniaceae
Description: 5.8S ribosomal RNA
Rfam family: 5.8S ribosomal RNA
About the family: 5.8S ribosomal RNA (5.8S rRNA) is a component of the large subunit of the eukaryotic ribosome. It is transcribed by RNA polymerase I as part of the 45S precursor that also contains 18S and 28S rRNA.
Source: RNAcentral
CUUUCAACAACGGAUCUCUUGGUUCUGGCAUCGAUGAAGAACGCAGCGAAAUGCGAUAAGUAAUGUGAAUUGCAGAACUCAGUGAAUCAUCGAAUCUUUGAACGCACAUUGCGCCCCUCGGUAUUCCGGGGGGCAUGCCUGUUCGAGCGUCA